AUUGAACGCUGGCGGCAUGCUUUACACAUGCAAGUCGAACGGCAGCGCGGGCUUCGGCCUGGCGGCGAGUGGCGAACGGGUGAGUAAUGCAUCGGAACGUGCCCAGUAGUGGGGGAUAGCCCGGCGAAAGCCGGAUUAAUACCGCAUCCGACCUGAGGGUGAAAGCGGGGGACCGAAAGGCCUCGCGCUAUUGGAGCGGCCGAUGUCGGAUUAGCUAGUUGGUGGGGUAAAGGCUUACCAAGGCGACGAUCCGUAGCUGGUCUGAGAGGACGACCCGCCACACUGGGACUGAGACACGGCCCAGACUCCGACGGGAGGCAGCAGUGGGGAAUUUUGGACAAUGGGGGCAACCCUGAUCCAGCCAUGCCGCGUGCGGGAAGAAGGCCUUCGGGUUGUAAACCGCUUUUGUUCGGGAAGAAAUCCUCUGGGCUAAUACCCCGGGGGGAUGACGGUACCGGAAGAAUAAGCACCGGCUAACUACGUG
This 484-nucleotide ribosomal RNA is filed under the name uncultured bacterium. Its description in RNAcentral is "partial 16S ribosomal RNA". It matches the Rfam family "Bacterial small subunit ribosomal RNA", at positions 28 to 507 of the family's 1533-position model. The record is from RNAcentral.